RNAcentral lists this ribosomal RNA (170 nucleotides) under uncultured bacterium. RNAcentral's name for it is "partial 16S ribosomal RNA". It matches the Rfam family "Bacterial small subunit ribosomal RNA", at positions 1323 to 1500 of the family's 1533-position model. The record is from RNAcentral.
GAGCUGGAUUCGCUAGUAAUCGCGCAUCAGCCACGGCGCGGUGAAUACGUUCCCGGGCCUUGUACACACCGCCCGUCAAGCCAUGGAAGCCGGGGGUGCCUGAAGUGCGCUGCCGCGAGGAGCGCCCUAGGGUAAAACCGGUGACUGGGGCUAAGUCGUAACAAGGUAUC